This 253-nucleotide ribosomal RNA is filed under the name uncultured bacterium. RNAcentral's name for it is "partial 16S ribosomal RNA". It matches the Rfam family "Bacterial small subunit ribosomal RNA", at positions 524 to 776 of the family's 1533-position model. The record is from RNAcentral.
CACGUAGGGCGCAAGCGUUGUCCGGAAUUAUUGGGCGUAAAGAGCUCGUAGGCGGUCUGUUGCGUCCGCUGUGAAAACUCGGGGCUUAACCCCGAGCCUGCAGUGGAUACGGGCAGACUAGAGGCAGGUAGGGGAGAAUGGAAUUCCCGGUGUAGCGGUGAAAUGCGCAGAUAUCGAUAGGAACUCCGGUGGCGAAGGCGGCAUACUGGACCACAUCUGACGCUGAGGCGCGAAAGCCAGGGGAGCAAACGGG